This is a long non-coding RNA of Alligator mississippiensis (American alligator), 552 nucleotides long. RefSeq lists it as uncharacterized. The transcript is spliced from 2 exons. The record is from RefSeq and is a predicted model, not a curated record. NCBI's taxonomy places the organism in Eukaryota, Metazoa, Chordata, Crocodylia, Alligatoridae.
CUGGCUCCGGGGCGGCCUGCGGAGGGGGCUGCCGCUGGCCGCACAGUUCAGUGCUAGUGACCAAGCGACAGGACGCAGGAAAGCAGAGCAACUUUCUCAGUGUCUUCCCUUCGUCCAGAGUCAGGCUGCAGUGGCUAAGGCAGGGACCUCUGAGACUGACUUCAGCAUAAGCCGGGUCAUCCACGGGGACUGGCACCCCGGCCGAAGAGCUCAAAGGGCUUUCAAGAAAACCCGGGACCUGAUGUCUAAGACAGCAGGGGCCCCGCUGUCGUGGCCCUGCUGAAGGGACGAGGAGUUUUUAUUGAACCCUGUGGACAUUUUCUCAGGGUUCAAAACUAUUCUUCCUUCCAAGAGGGCUUUAAAAUUCAAAGCAAAGGAGGGCUGUUAAGGCAGAAAAUGCAUGCUGAGUCUGCUCACAGUGCCAUGCAGUACGGUCGUAUUUACAGAAUCAGUCCAUCUCCCCCAAGCCUGGCUCGAAAUACUCCAGGGGGGAGAAAAAAGGUAUUUCUGAAGAGUAAACAUUAUCAUUAAAAAUGACAGCAAUGGACCUGA